Orbicella faveolata is the source of this 922-nucleotide long non-coding RNA. Lineage: Eukaryota; Metazoa; Cnidaria; Anthozoa; Scleractinia; Merulinidae. The record is from RefSeq and is a predicted model, not a curated record.
CGGUCACACAACGGUCAAACGUAAAAUAUUCAACACCACUUUUGGUUCUCGUCGCCUUUAGCUGUACCACGAGUUUGAAUAGAAUGUCACAAGAAUUACAACGACAAACAAAAAUACGAAGCGAAAACUAUUUUGGAUAGUAAAUGUUGAAUUUGCUGUGCGUUUUUGGCGUAGAGAGCUUGGGUGCUUUCCAUUAUGCCAGAAAAGGAAAGUGGAAGGACAUUUUCCGAUCAGACCGGGCCAACCAAGAGAAAUGGCUCUUACUAUUUGGUUUUCCUUUUCCGAAUUCUUUACAUAAGUGAAGAGAAGUGGGGCAAUGAACCGGUUGGUCAAAAUGGAACGGCAAAUUUCGGUCGGAACCGAAACGGACCUUUCCAUUUGACUUCGGACCGAAAUUUCCGGAAUCUUUGGCACAAUGGAAAGCACCCUUUAAGUGUCCUAAUUUUUGCCUUGAAGUUAGCCGUUGUCUUUGGCAGCGCAUAGCUAGUUGCGUGCACACUUGUACUGAAUUUGGGACAAAUCAAAAUAUAAGAACAUUAUCCUGAACGGUGAAAGAAAAAUUCUGCUGUGCGGAUUUAAGGCUUUAAUUAGAAUCUAUCCUCUACGGCGUUACUUUUACCCUGAAAAACAAACUUCCCGUGUUUGUGAGAUAAUCUAGAAUCGGGUUCGUAUAGUGUAUAUCAGAUGUUUGAUGCGAGUUAGUUGAAAAAUAAACUGCCUAUUUCAGAAGCAGUUGCUAUGUUUACAGAGUGCUUUACAAGGUCUUUAAACGGUGAUUGUCUGUUUUUUCAAGGGCGAGAGAAAGAGGAAGAAAAAGAAGAAAAAGAAAGCUAGACAUUGGUGGGAUACCUUGUCGAAACCGCCUGCUGCUUCGGAAACUAGUGACAGUACAACAGCGGAUGAUGAUGAAGCUAAUAAGGAG